RNAcentral lists this ribosomal RNA (255 nucleotides) under uncultured bacterium. RNAcentral's name for it is "partial 16S ribosomal RNA". It matches the Rfam family "Bacterial small subunit ribosomal RNA", at positions 524 to 776 of the family's 1533-position model. The record is from RNAcentral.
GACAAAGAGUGCAAGCGUUAUUCGUCUUUAUUGGGCGUAAAGGGUAUGUAGGUGGCCUUUAUAAACUAAGUCUGAAAUGCUAGAAGAUAAAAUUUAGAAGUGGACUUAAUGAUUGAAAGGCUUGGAGUUAAAAGGAGGUUAGAAGAAUUUUUCAGUUAGGGAGUAAAAUCCAAAGUUGAGAAGGACUACCAAAGGCGAAGGCAUCUUUCCAUUUUUAACUGACACUGAGGUACGAAAGCCUAGGUAAUCAAACGG